AUUAUUCAUCGGUGAUUACAUUGUAAAGUGGUAAUGCAUUCGAUUAUUAAUGCAUGUAUAGGUUUUAUACAUAAUCUUGAGCGGCCGUUUCUAAGAGAAUUUUUUUUCUCGCUGUGUAAGUUUUAACGGUUGCCCUGUUUUAAGGAUGGGGUUUUCAAAUAACAAACGAAAAAACCUGGUUGAAUUAGCAGCUUUGCGUGGGUGUACAACCACACCAGAUUCAAAUCCCACUUUUCCCGGUUCAAAACCUGAUUUUUGUGAAACGAGAAGCUGAUGUUGGGUGGCCCGGAAUGAUGAGUAUACGGGUUCAUGAAAUUGUACUUUGAUGGAAUGGAAUGUAUGAUCAUCCUGUUCUACCUAUGGCAGGAGAAACAUGGCAGCUUUUAGAAAUACAGUGCCAUUAAGCAUUUCUAUCUUUUGAAAGAAGUUUUGACAAGCUGUAUUACUAAAUUUUUUGAGAGAAAUUUGAUAAUGGUUAAAUACAUAGUUUAAAAGAUGCUCUUUUGGGACUUCAUUAAGCAUUUCUAUUUUUUGAGAGAA
Molecule: long non-coding RNA, 540 nt
Organism: Helianthus annuus (common sunflower)
Lineage: Eukaryota; Viridiplantae; Streptophyta; Magnoliopsida; Asterales; Asteraceae
Exons: 2
Source: RefSeq, a predicted model, not a curated record